Molecule: ribosomal RNA, 1262 nt
Filed under: fungal sp.
Lineage: Eukaryota; Fungi
Description: eukaryotic LSU rRNA
Rfam family: Eukaryotic large subunit ribosomal RNA
Source: RNAcentral
GAGUGAAGCGGCAACAGCUCAAAUUUGAAAUCUGGCUUCGGCCCGAGUUGUAAUUUGUAGAGGAUGCUUUUGGUGAGGUGCCUUCUGAGUUCCCUGGAACGGGACGCCAGAGAGGGUGAGAGCCCCGUAUAGUCGGCCACCGAUCCUCUGUAAAGCUCCUUCGACGAGUCGAGUAGUUUGGGAAUGCUGCUCAAAAUGGGAGGUAUAUCUCUUCUAAAGCUAAAUAUAGGCCAGAGACCGAUAGCGCACAAGUAGAGUGAUCGAAAGAUGAAAAGCACUUUGAAAAGAGGGUUAAAUAGCACGUGAAAUUGUUGAAAGGGAAGCGCUUGUGACCAGACUUGUGCCGGGCUGAUCAUCCAGUGUUCUCACUGGUGCACUCGACCCGGCUCAGGCCAGCGUCGGUUUUCGCGGGGGGAUAAAAGCUUCGGGAACGUGGCACCUUCGGGUGUGUUAUAGCCCGUUGCUUAAUACCUCCGUGGGGACCGAGGUUCGCGCUCUGCAAGGACGCUGGCAUAAUGGUCAUCAGCGACCCGUCUUGAAACACGGACCAAGGAGUCGAGGUUUUGCGCGAGUGUUUGGGUGUAAAACCCGCACGCGUAAUGAAAGUGAACGUAGGUGAGAGCUUCGGCGCAUCAUCGACCGAUCCUGAUGUAUUCGGAUGGAUUUGAGUAAGAGCGUAAAGCCUCGGACCCGAAAGAUGGUGAACUAUGCCUGAAUAGGGUGAAGCCAGAGGAAACUCUGGUGGAGGCUCGCAGCGGUUCUGACGUGCAAAUCGAUCGUCAAAUUUGGGCAUGGGGGCGAAAGACUAAUCGAACCAUCUAGUAGCUGGUUACCGCCGAAGUUUCCCUCAGGAUAGCAGUGUUGUUCUUCAGUUUUAUGAGGUAAAGCGAAUGAUUAGGGACUCGGGGGCGCUAUAUAGCCUUCAUCCAUUCUCAAACUUUAAAUAUGUAAGAAGCCCUUGUUACUUAAUUGAACGUGGGCAUUCGAAUGUACCAACACUAGUGGGCCAUUUUUGGUAAGCAGAACUGGCGAUGCGGGAUGAACCGAACGCGGGGUUAAGGUGCCAGAGUGGACGCUCAUCAGACACCACAAAAGGCGUUAGUACAUCUUGACAGCAGGACGGUGGCCAUGGAAGUCGGAAUCCGCUAAGGACUGUGUAACAACUCACCUGCCGAAUGUACUAGCCCUGAAAAUGGAUGGCGCUCAAGCGUCCCACCCAUACCCCGCCGUCAGGGUAGAAACGAUGCCCUGACGAGUAGGCG